RNAcentral lists this ribosomal RNA (464 nucleotides) under uncultured bacterium. RNAcentral's name for it is "bacterial SSU rRNA". It matches the Rfam family "Bacterial small subunit ribosomal RNA", at positions 34 to 507 of the family's 1533-position model. The record is from RNAcentral.
CGCUGGCGGCGCGCCUAACACAUGCAAGUCGAACGAGUGGAUGACCUUCGGGUCUGGAAGCUAGUGGCGGACGGGUGAGUAACACGUGAGGGAACCUGCCUCUCAGAGUGGGAUACCGUUUGGAAACGAACGUUAAUACCGCAUAACGUUACAGAGAUCGCAUGGUCUUUGUACCAAAGAUUUAUCGCUGAGAGAUGGCCUCGCGUCUGAUUAGAUAGUUGGUGAGGUUAACGGGCCCCACCAAGUCUACGAUCAGUAGCCGAGCUGAGAGGCUGAUCGGCCACACUGGGACUGAGAUACGGCCCAGACUCCUACGGGAGGCAGCAGGAAGGAAUAUUGGGCAAUGGGGGAAACCCUGACGCAGCAACGCCGCGUGAAGGAUGAAGGUCUUCGGAUUGUAAACUUCUUUUAUUAAGGACGAAGAAGUGACGGUACUUAAUGAAUAAGCCACGGCUAACUACGUG